RNAcentral lists this ribosomal RNA (480 nucleotides) under uncultured bacterium. RNAcentral's name for it is "partial 16S ribosomal RNA". It matches the Rfam family "Bacterial small subunit ribosomal RNA", at positions 28 to 507 of the family's 1533-position model. The record is from RNAcentral.
GACGAACGCUGGCGGCGUGCUUAACACAUGCAAGUCGAACGAUGAAGAAAAGAAUCGAAGCUUCGGCAGAAAUUCAUUUCGGAUUAGUGGCAGACGGGUGAGUAACGCGUGAGCAACCUACCUCUUACAAAGGGAUAGCCUCGGGAAACCGGGAUUAAUACUAUAUAACAUUGCGACGAAGCAUUUCGAUGCAAUCAAAGCUACGGCGGUAAGAGAUGGGCUCGCGUCCCAUUAACCGGAUGGUGAGGUAACGGCUCACCAUAGUGACGAUGGGUAACCGGCCUGAGAGGGUGAACGGUCACACUGGAACUGAGACACGGUCCAGACUCCUACGGGAGGCAGCAGUGGGGAAUAUUGCACAAUGGAGGGAACUCUGAUGCAGCGACGCCGCGUGAGUGAUGAAGGAAUUCGUUUCGUAAAACUCUGUUCUAUGGGAAGAAAAGGACUGUACCAUAGGAGAAAGCGCCGGCUAAAUACGUG